This 303-nucleotide long non-coding RNA is filed under the name Actinidia chinensis (golden kiwifruit). RNAcentral describes it as "long non-coding RNA (ACHI_LNC007959)". The record is from RNAcentral. Lineage: Eukaryota; Viridiplantae; Streptophyta; Magnoliopsida; Ericales; Actinidiaceae.
CACUAGUUGAUGGGAUGUUAUGCUCCCAUGUGAUCUCGUUCCUUUUUAUUUAUUUUUGUUCUCGUUUUUGCAUUGAGGACACUACACAAUUCAAGUUGGGGGGUGAGGGUUAGCUUUUUAUAGCAUAUUUCUUAUUUAAAUAGAUUAAUUAGUAGGUUAGCUUUUUAUAGCAUAUUUCUUAUUGAAAUAGAUUAAUUAGUAUAAAGUAGUAAAAAUUAAAUAGAUUAAUUAGUAUAAAGUAGUAAAAAUUUUGAAAAAAAAAAAAUUUUGGUUAAAUUUUUACUUAAUCAGUGGUUUAAAGAU